AGAGAAUUGCUUGAACCCGGGAGGCGGAGUUUGCAGUGAGCCAAGAUCACGCCAUUGCACUCCAACCUUGGUGACAAGA
RNAcentral lists this small nuclear RNA (79 nucleotides) under Homo sapiens (human). RNAcentral's name for it is "partial ncRNA". The record is from RNAcentral. Lineage: Eukaryota; Metazoa; Chordata; Mammalia; Primates; Hominidae.